Molecule: non-coding RNA, 66 nt
Organism: Podarcis lilfordi (Lilford's wall lizard)
Lineage: Eukaryota; Metazoa; Chordata; Lepidosauria; Squamata; Lacertidae
Source: the annotation of a GenBank genome assembly
GCGGCUCAGUGGUACAGCAUCUGCUUUGCAUGCAGAAGGUCCCUGAUACAAUUCCUGGCAACUUCA